Nelumbo nucifera (sacred lotus) is the source of this 856-nucleotide long non-coding RNA. RefSeq lists it as uncharacterized. The record is from RefSeq and is a predicted model, not a curated record. Lineage: Eukaryota; Viridiplantae; Streptophyta; Magnoliopsida; Proteales; Nelumbonaceae.
ACUCUCUCCAACGGCUUUUUUUUUUUUUUUUUUUCUGAUGGUUCUAUCACGGGCAAGUCGACGACUAUCUCCGUCAGUUUGCUUGAGCUGCAUGUACCGAGAAUGUAUUGUCUUCACUUCGGACUCCAAGUCUCCAACCUAGGGUUUCUCCAAGGGAACUCCCUCCAAUGGCUUUUUUUUUUCAACAGUUCUCUCACCGGCGAGUCGGCGACUAUUUCCGGCAAUUUGCUUGAGCUACAUGUACAGAAAAUGUAUUGUCCUCACUAGCGGCUAUCUCUGACAUUUUUUCUCUCCAGCAGUUUUCUCUCUCCGACGGCCAUCUCUCUUCUGUGAACUGCAAUCAAUCGUUGAAAUAGCAUCAGCAUUGCAGAACUCGGAGUGAUGAUGAUGACAACUUUUUUGGGUAGUUGUUUCCUCCAAGUAAGCUGUGUUUGGAGACUUGGAGUGAUGAUGACGAUUUGUUGUAACACAAAUCUUAGGAUAAAGGGUUUCUCAGAGAAUCAGCAAAUUUCAGGAGGAAAGCAUUUGGGGUGUGUCCAUCCACCCACACGGUGUUCUCACAUUAUUUGGGGUGUUCAUCAUGGAGAAUGUACCUGGCUAGUGGUUCCUCAAGAAGCAGGAAGUAGAAAGCAGAAUCUGGUUGGAUUCGAUUGAUAAGUAAUAACCUGCAUAAGAACAGUAUGCAGUAGCUCUUUUAAGAACUUGUCAAGAUGGUUGGAAUUUGGUUCAUCUUUUGUUUGUUUUUUUUUUUUGUUUUUUUUUUUUUGUGUGUGUGUGUGUUAGUAUUGAAGAAUUAAAUUCUAAAAGAUUAUAUUGACAAACUCUUAAUAUGGAAUGACUAAGUGUUGCAUUUCAA